RNAcentral lists this unclassified non-coding RNA (343 nucleotides) under soil metagenome. RNAcentral describes it as "partial contains 5.8S ribosomal RNA, internal transcribed spacer 2, and large subunit ribosomal RNA". The stretch from base 1 to 120 matches the Rfam family "5.8S ribosomal RNA", at positions 35 to 154 of the family's 154-position model. The record is from RNAcentral.
GAUGAAGAACGUAGCGAAAUGCGAUAAGUAAUGUGAAUUGCAGAAUUCAGUGAAUCAUCGAAUCUUUGAACGCACAUUGCGCCCGUCAGUAUUCUGGCGGGCAUGCCUGUCCGAGCGUCAUUUCAACCCUCAAGCCCCCGGGCUUGGUGUUGGGGAUCGGCGAGCCUCCGCGCCCGCCGUCCCCUAAAUCUAGUGGCGGUCUCGCUGUAGCUUCCUCUGCGUAGUAGCACACCUCGCACUGGGAAACAGCGCGGCCACGCCGUUAAACCCCCAACUUCUGAACGUUUGACCUCGGAUCAGGUAGGAAUACCCGCUGAACUUAAGCAUAUCAAUAAGCGGAGGA